This is a small nuclear RNA of Nycticebus coucang (slow loris), 125 nucleotides long. RefSeq annotates it as U4atac minor spliceosomal RNA. NCBI's taxonomy places the organism in Eukaryota, Metazoa, Chordata, Mammalia, Primates, Lorisidae. The record is from RefSeq and is a predicted model, not a curated record. The transcript has a single exon.
ACCAUCCUUUUCUUGGGGUUGCACUAGUGUACAGUGAACACAUAGUGAGGGCAGUACUGCUAACCCCUACACACACAUUCACAUCAACUAGAGGUUUGCUCUAUAUGGGUGCAAUUUUUGGAAAA